AUUAUUAGUAAAUAUUAUAACUACAGUUAUUAGUGGCUUAAAAUACCAGAAACACCCAAAAAUUGUCUUAGAAAACAUUUUUUUUUUUUUUUACCAAGAUCUGACAGCCAUUGUGGAAAGUUACGUUUGUGAGAUUGGAUGCUUAACAAUGAGAAUCUUAAUUGUUAAGUAUAUUUUUCAGUGGCUGUUGGGUUAGCUUAAGAUGAUUUGGAUUUUUUAUUAUUUCUAAAAGUGAGUUAAGAAAGCACUCCGAUACAAUAUUGAAUGUAUUUAUAUUUUAACUCUACCUUUGUAUAGGUGGUUUAUGUACCUUUAACCAUUACAAACCAAAUUACAUUUUCUUUGUAUUUGAAAAACUGAUAAAAUAUUUGAUUA
Non-coding RNA from Pelobates cultripes (western spadefoot toad), 375 nucleotides. The record is from the annotation of a GenBank genome assembly. NCBI's taxonomy places the organism in Eukaryota, Metazoa, Chordata, Amphibia, Anura, Pelobatidae.